This 600-nucleotide long non-coding RNA is filed under the name Nicotiana benthamiana. Its description in RNAcentral is "long non-coding RNA (NBEN_LNC020648)". Lineage: Eukaryota; Viridiplantae; Streptophyta; Magnoliopsida; Solanales; Solanaceae. The record is from RNAcentral.
UUAGAGCAAAAUAAGCAUUAUCUGGGUCAUCGAGCAGCGCGUGAGCAAGAAGGCGGCGCGUGGCGGAAAUGAGCGUCGGCGAUGAGCGUUGAGUUCUCUUCGAAUGUAUAAAUCUGUCAGUAAAAACACCCGUUGGAGGUGUAAUUUUCACUGUAGGGUCAGCGUGAAUGUAAAUAUUAUACAGAUGCGGAUCGGAAGCAUUGAAGAAUUUGUGCCAUAAGAAUUCGAAGUGUAAAUCGGAAUUUGUUAGGAACAUAAAGGCGAUUUUGAGGAAAAUUGUAAAAGUAAUUAAAAGAGUGUAAAGGGAUACAAUGCUGAGAGACAAGAGCAAAAUAAGCAUUAUCUGGGUCAUCGAGCAGCGCGUGAGCAAGAAGGCGGCGCGUGGCGGAAAUGAGCGUCGGCGAUGAGCGUUGAGUUCUCUUCGAAUGUAUAAAUCUGUCAGUAAAAACACCCGUUGGAGGUGUAAUUUUCACUGUAGGGUCAGCGUGUAUGUAGAUAUUAUACAGAUGCGGAUCGGAAGCAUUGAAGAAUUUGUGCCAUAAGAAUUCGAAGUGUAAAUCAGAAUUUGUUAGGAACAAAAAGGCGAUUUUGGGGCGGCGG